This 497-nucleotide ribosomal RNA is filed under the name uncultured bacterium. RNAcentral describes it as "partial 16S ribosomal RNA". It matches the Rfam family "Bacterial small subunit ribosomal RNA", at positions 28 to 507 of the family's 1533-position model. The record is from RNAcentral.
GAUGAACGCUGGCGGCGUGCCUAAUACAUGCAAGUCGAGCGAACGGACGAGAAGCUUGCUUUUCUGAUGUUAGCGGCGGACGGGUGAGUAACACGUGGAUAACCUACCUAUAAGACUGGGAUAACUUCGGGAAACCGGCGCUAAUACCGGAUAAUAUUUUGAACCGCAUGGUUCAAAAGUGAAAGACGGUCUUGCUGUCACUUAUAGAUGGAUCCGCGCUGCAUUAGCUAGUUGGUAAGGUAACGGCUUACCAAGGCAACGAUGCAUAGCCGACCUGAGAGGGUGAUCGGCCACACUGGAGCUGAGACACGGUCCAGACUCCUACGGGAGGCAGCAGUAGGGAAUCUUCCGCAAUGGGCGAAAGCCUGACGGAGCAACGCCGCGUGAGUGAUGAAGGUCUUCGGAUCGUAAAACUCUGUUAUUAGGGAAGAACAUAUGUGUAAGUAACUGUGCACAUCUUGACGGUACCUAAUCAGAAAGCCACGGCUAACUACGUG